Molecule: ribosomal RNA, 460 nt
Filed under: uncultured bacterium
Lineage: Bacteria
Description: partial 16S ribosomal RNA
Rfam family: Bacterial small subunit ribosomal RNA
Source: RNAcentral
CCUACGGGUGGCAGCAGUGAGGAAUAUUGGUCAAUGGGCGCGAACCUGAACCAGCCAAGUAGCGUGAAGGAUGACUGCCCUACGGGUUGUAAACUUCUUUUAUAAAGGAAUAAAGUGAGGCACGUGUGCCUUUUUGUAUGUACUUUAUGAAUAAGGAUCGGCUAACUCCGUGCCAGCCGCCGCGGUAAUACGGAGGGUCCGAGCGUUAUCCGGAUUUAUUGGGUUUAAAGGGAGCGUAGAUGGGUUGUUAAGUCAGUUGUGAAAGUUUGCGGCUCAACCGUAAAAUUGCAAUUGAUACUGGCAGUCUGGAGUACAGUUGAGGUAGGCGGAAUUCGUGGUGUAGCGGUGAAAUGCUUAGAUAUCACGAAGAACUCCGAUUGCGAAGGCAGCUUACUAAACUGCCACUGACAUUGAUGCUCGAAAGUGUGGGUAUCGAACAGGAUUAGAUACCCCAGUAGUC